Molecule: non-coding RNA, 70 nt
Organism: Caenorhabditis brenneri
Lineage: Eukaryota; Metazoa; Nematoda; Chromadorea; Rhabditida; Rhabditidae
Source: the annotation of a GenBank genome assembly
ACCACUUGGUGUAGUGGUUAACGACUAUGAUCAUCAGAAUCAUUGAUCCAGGUUCGAACCUUGGGUGGCA